UCUUUUUCCACCGGAGCUUGCUCCACCGGAAAAGAGGAGUGGCGAAGGGGUGAGUAACACGUGGGUAACCUGCCCAUCAGAAGGGGAUAACACUUGGAAACAGGUGCUAAUACCGUAUAACAAUCGAAACCGCAUGGUUUUGAUUUGAAAGGCGCUUUCGGGUGUCGCUGAUGGAUGGACCCGCGGUGCAUUAGCUAGUUGGUGAGGUAACGGCUCACCAAGGCCACGAUGCAUAGCCGACCUGAGAGGGUGAUCGGCCACAUUGGGACUGAGACACGGCCCAAACUCCUACGGGAGGCAGCAGUAGGGAAUCUUCGGCAAUGGACGAAAGUCUGACCGAGCAACGCCGCGUGAGUGAAGAAGGUUUUCGGAUCGUAAAACUCUGUUGUUAGAGAAGAACAAGGAUGAGAGUAACUGUUCAUCCCUUGACGGUAUCUAACCAGAAAGCCACGGCUAACUACGUGCCAGCAGCCGCGGUAAUACGUAGGUGGCAAGCGUUGUCCGGAUUUAUUGGGCGUAAAGCGAGCGCAGGCGGUUUCUUAAGUCUGAUGUGAAAGCCCCCGGCUCAACCGGGGAGGGUCAUUGGAAACUGGGAGACUUGAGUGCAGAAGAGGAGAGUGGAAUUCCAUGUGUAGCGGUGAAAUGCGUAGAUAUAUGGAGGAACACCAGUGGCGAAGGCGGCUCUCUGGUCUGUAACUGACGCUGAGGCUCGAAAGCGUGGGGAGCAAACAGGAUUAGAUACCCUGGUAGUCCACGCCGUAAACGAUGAGUGCUAAGUGUUGGAGGGUUUCCGCCCUUCAGUGCUGCAGCUAACGCAUUAAGCACUCCGCCUGGGG
RNAcentral lists this ribosomal RNA (836 nucleotides) under Enterococcus sp. Gull9_G12_1. RNAcentral describes it as "bacterial SSU rRNA". It matches the Rfam family "Bacterial small subunit ribosomal RNA", at positions 68 to 878 of the family's 1533-position model. Lineage: Bacteria; Bacillati; Bacillota; Bacilli; Lactobacillales; Enterococcaceae. The record is from RNAcentral.